Molecule: long non-coding RNA, 1211 nt
Organism: Ictalurus punctatus (channel catfish)
Lineage: Eukaryota; Metazoa; Chordata; Actinopteri; Siluriformes; Ictaluridae
Source: Ensembl
CUGAUUUGUAGGUCUAACCAGCCAGUUGAAUGUGGAAAAAAAGAAAAGUGCACUAUAUAGGCAAGGGUGCAUAUGAUUUGGAACAGGCCUAAUCAUCAAUGCAUGAUGGGAAAAUUUAGGAAAGAUAAGUGAUACAUCCGCAUACAUGUGGCACAAGUUGUUACGUCGAACCGCGCGCGCUGAGUGACACUAAUUAAGUGUAUCACCUGUCCUGGCGUAAUUCUUUGGCACUCCUCUUUACGCACUGCGUUUUGGUUGUUGUUUCUUUCUUUCUUUUUUCUUUCUUAGACGUGGCGUCUGAUCUUUUUUUUUUUUGGUCGCGGUUAGAUUAUGAAAUCACGACAGUUCAGUCUGAAAUCCGACACUUUUUUAGGGAACACUUUUAAUUUCAGUACCUGGCAACGCUGUAGGGGCGGAAACUUCAUAACAGCGCCGAAAUACGCGACUCCAAGAAUACGCGCAACUAAAACCAACCCGAGCUGAACUCUCCGGCAGACCGAACAGAGCCCACAAACCCAAACCCAGGGAGAGUUUCCAUUACAAAAAGAAGAAAAAUGUAGUCUCCAUGCAUGGAUUGUAACUGUCCGAGUUGAGAGGACUUCAGCACGAAUCAUUCAGGCGUGUGAACAUGGACCAAAAAUGACAAAUGCAUCUUCUUGGCACUUCUGUUUUGGUGUUUCUCCUCCUACCUCUCGUCUUCUCCUGCAAAAGCACCAAGAGUAAAGAGGAGAUCUCUCAGGAUUAUGAGUAUAUCAUUCAGAAGCAGCUGGAGCACAUUAACUUGAGUAUUCAGAGACAGGUGGAGUCCUGCGGGGAACGAAAGCUCGUGCUGCAGAAUUUAUUCCCGAUCGAGCGCAUCAGCACCGUGUCCUGCACCCGUUUACCGAGGAACAUAAGUGGUCAGCUGCACACUGAAUUACGGAACCUCGUGAGGGACAUAACGGUAUCGCUGGGAUGUCCCUGUUCUGCAAACCAGACCGAGCAGGCAGAGAGGUGGCCGGACUCCCAGCCUUUACAGAAGAAGUUUUGCCGACUGAAACGUUUGCUCAUGACGAUACAGAAAGCGUACGAACAAUACAACUCGGCUUACUUUGCAUGGCACCUUGUAUAUGAGAGGACAUACACUCAUAACGAAGUGGCGAGUGAAACACGCCCGCUGCUUGGAGAGCAAAAAUCAGCCGGAUGCAGGAUCCAUCAUGAAUCGUACAACC